Molecule: unclassified non-coding RNA, 317 nt
Filed under: Zygia claviflora
Lineage: Eukaryota; Viridiplantae; Streptophyta; Magnoliopsida; Fabales; Fabaceae
Description: partial external transcribed spacer
Source: RNAcentral
AGGCAAUCCGCGUCGGUUGCUGUGAGGUGGGAUGGUGCCUUUGAGGCUGGUUCUUGUGCUGCCUACCCCUUUCAAAGGGAAGAAGGCCACUUGCAGUUAGCCUCCAUCCGGCGCCUUCCAAUGGGCGCGGGAGGACAAAGAAGCACCCCCCGUGUUCCACCGAGCCUUUUCAUCGGACGCGUGGCCCACGGGGGAGUGCAAAGCUCUUGGACCCAGCGUAUGCCGUGGACGGGGACUCACGUCCCAGUCCCGAGAGGAGCUUAAGAUAUAACGGGUGACGGCCGCUCUCGCCCCAGGACCGCAUCGGCGGCGGGGGU